RNAcentral lists this long non-coding RNA (212 nucleotides) under Lathyrus oleraceus (garden pea). RNAcentral describes it as "Pisum sativum (pea) long non-coding RNA (PSAT_LNC004806)". Lineage: Eukaryota; Viridiplantae; Streptophyta; Magnoliopsida; Fabales; Fabaceae. The record is from RNAcentral.
AAACCUUACCAUUCAAAAUGGCAUUUUUGGACCUUUUGCAUUUAAAUUCAAAGUUUGACCAAACUUUGACUUUUUGAGUUUUUGACUUUUUCUUGAUUUGGUCAAUUGGGAAAUGUUCCAUACAUCAUUUGUGAUUUGUUCCAAGCCAUAAACCAUCAUCAUACCACCUUUACACCUCAUUUUGACCAAAGUUGCACAAGUUGUUAUUUUUG